This 223-nucleotide ribosomal RNA is filed under the name uncultured Gammaproteobacteria bacterium. RNAcentral describes it as "partial 16S ribosomal RNA". It matches the Rfam family "Bacterial small subunit ribosomal RNA", at positions 827 to 1050 of the family's 1533-position model. Lineage: Bacteria; Pseudomonadati; Pseudomonadota; Gammaproteobacteria. The record is from RNAcentral.
CGUCUUAAGGCGUGCGUAGCGAAGCUAACGCGCUAAGUAGACCGCCUGGGGAGUACGGUCGCAAGGUUAAAACUCAAAUGAAUUGACGGGGGCCCGCACAAGCGGUGGAGCAUGUGGUUUAAUUCGAAGCAACGCGCAGAACCUUACCAGGCCUUGACAUCCUCGGAACAAUCUAGAGAUAGAUUGGUGCCUUCGGGAACCGAGUGACAGGUGCUGCAUGGCU